Molecule: non-coding RNA, 4761 nt
Organism: Sus scrofa (pig)
Lineage: Eukaryota; Metazoa; Chordata; Mammalia; Artiodactyla; Suidae
Source: RefSeq, a predicted model, not a curated record
CUCAGCCCCAUUCUCUGGCCAUUCUGCACCUUCCUUGCUGCAUCUGUGCUGAAUCACGGCCGGUGCUGAUCCCUUCAGGGUUGCAAGGGCCGUGGGGCCCAACUCCCUUACCCACCGAGGCAGGCCCGGAGGUCACCCUUUCCAUCACUCAGCCCUCUGAAUAGGCCCUGUGAGUGAGCUUUGUGCAGGAGCGCCAGGGAAAAAAGGGGCUCUGUUUGGGAGCCCCACGCAGAGGCCAGCCCUGUGCAGCACUGCCCAGAGGAGUCUGGCCAGGGAGGGGGAGGGGCGGUGUGCCCCAGCAGCACACAUCGGCCUCCCUGUUCUCACCCCGACUCGCCCAUGAUGGACCGUCAUCCUCAGGCAGCCUGUAGGGAAAGGGGAGACGAGGAGUAUCAGCAUUAGACAAAGCUGUCUACUUUGCCAACAGGCUGUGUGUGCAGUCUUGGGGAGCCUCGCAGCCGCCUCGUAGGGAGGCAGGUGGGAGCCCCUACAGCCCUCUUCUUUGUGCCCUGAGAUGACUGAUGGGCACGGAGGAACGGGCACGGAGGAACUGGCCCGGGGUCACCCAACUAGAUGGUGGCAGAGGAGGAGGCUGCCUGAAGCCGGGUGAACAGGUCAUCUGGUCUCUCGGAGGGACUGAGGGUCUCAGAUCUGGACUCACCCUGCCUUGACUCACUCAUCUGCCCCUUGACUCCGUGCUGUACGCACAGACCUACUCUUUUGGGUUCUCUGCUACCGGGGCUCCCAGAAGGCAGGGACCUUGUUCUGUUCCCUGCUAGGAGCCAGGGCCUGGGCCAUGCCCAGCACUAAGAAGGCCCCGAGCAAACAUUAGACAGAUGGUCAGUGGCCGGGGUUGAAUGUGGCCCAGUGCAGGGAUGGCACUGUCACCUGGAUCCUGUCUGCUGUGAGGCAGUUACCUGUCUGGGAGAAAAAGAGUUGAUGCCAGAGCUGAGAAAGGACCACCACUAUUCAGCAUCCCCGCUAUUCCCUCCUUAACCAGGCACCAGGAUGGAGAGAAGAUGCUGCUCAUUGGUACAACCAGCCCUGCUGGCACACUUGAUGCCCGUCCAGGUCCCCAGAUCUGAGAACCAGCCUCCAGCUCCUCUCCUGCCUCUUGGCCUUGGCUGGUGGGAGCCAGAGGCUCGGUCCUGGGGCUGACUUCCGGUGUGGGCUAGAGCCGUGCGGUCUCCCUGCAGGCCAGGGCUGGGCGGAGACUGUGUAACUGGAGCAGGAGCCGCGUGUCAGAGGGGCCGGGGCUGCACAAGAAGUCCUCAGCCAGGAUGAAAUAAAUCUGCCCAUCUCCCCCCACUUGCCUGCCCUCUCCCCCGACCUGCACAGGUUUGCAAUUCAUCCGCCGUCCUCAGAUGCUGUUCAUGCUAUCAGAUGAUGAAAAUGGAGCUGCGUCUUGAAGAAAGAAAGAAGGAGCUCCCCUCCCCCUUUCUGAGUCCAUUCGAGCCCCCCCCUUCCCCCUCACCAUGUGUUCCUGAAACCUGGGGCUAUUCCAAGUCCUAAGUGAGCUGGAAAGUAUAUCCCUGAGCAGCUGCAAACCUGCUCAGGCUGCAGUGGCCCGGGGUGAAUCAGAAACCAAGAGACAGGCAGGCUAACAAUGCAGCUCCUUGUUUGUGUGUUGAGAGAUCACCAUCAAUGCUGGGAUUCCCGGCACAGUGAGCACACACAUACACUCAUGUGCACACACACUCACUCACACACACUUACACUCUAACAUGCACACACUCAGCACCCACAUGCACGUACACUCGUAUGCACACACACUCGCACACACUCGUGCAAACACUCAUACUCAUAUGCUCACAUUCACACACUCACAUUCAUAUGCACACACAUACCCACAUACUCACACCCAUCUCUUGCCUCCUGGUACCAUCUACCCACCUUGCCCAGCAGAGUGGACACUGGGGAGAGGUGUUCCAUAGCGGGCCUAAGCCCAUCCCGAGCAGCCAGCUGGGCUAGCCUCGCUCUAAGUUGCUAUCCCAGCCGCCUACUUUUUCCUUACCUCUAACUGAGAAGGCAGGGAGGGGAGCUGCAGGGGAGGGUUUGCACAAAGCCACACAGUGGGAUUGUCUCAGCUUCCAGCUGAGAUGGGGGACCAUGAAGAAUGGCGGGAUGCACAGCCAAAGGGGCUUCUUGGAGCCCAAGAAGGUUUGGGGAAGCUUGUUUAAAGGAACCAGACACCCUGAAGAAAAGAAUUUGCAGGCAAGUCUCAAAGCAGGCCGGUCACGGAGUUGGCAGCCGCUCAAGGCCGCGGUGGAGUCAGGGGCCUUUCCAUCAGGCCUGAUUACAACCACUCACGAGCCUGGCCAACUGCAGGCAUUAAGUGCCAAGUACCUCCAGGGGUCCAAACCACCCACAGAAACUGCCCUUUUUACACCACAUCCUGGUGGGGUGGGGCUGGGGGGGGCGUCGUCCUUCCAUCACAAAUGGACAGACUGAGGCUCAGAGCCACCUGACUGCCAGGCGCUGCUGGGGACAAAACUAGAAGCUCAGUUCCUUAACCCAGUUCCUAAAAGUUGGGUUCUUUCCACCAGAUGCCUCCCAUGAGCCUGGUCUAAAGGCAGGCGAGGAAGGAGGAUUAAUGUAAACACUCCCUGAUGUAAAUGUAUUUCCAAGGGCUCAUCUUCCCCUGCUGGGCAGGCGCGGUGCAAACUCCAGAGUGUUUCCAGGAUAGAAAAAGGCCUUAAUGGACGCAGAUGGAUCUCAUCUACUCUGAAGCAUGGGAGUCACAUCCAACCCUAAUCUCUCUCUUUGUCCCCCGUUCACUGUGUCUGAGUCCUGCAUGUUGUCCCAGAAACGUCUCCCAAACCCUGCCUCUUCCUUCCCUUCCCAAGCACUGCUGCCUCAAUGCAAGCUCACAUCAUCUCUUCCUGAACCAUUACCAAACUUCUCCCCCUCACCAUCCCACCGUGCCAAAAAAGCAUCUGUUCAUGAUGCUGCCCAGCUUAAAUACCUCCUUGUUUUCCCUUAUCCCCAGGAUCAGUGCAAGACUCUUAGCCACACAAGGCUCUUUCUAAGCUGCAGCCAGCCCCAAUUCAUCUCCCGUGCCUACUCAGACACCUGCCAUGGCCAGGGACAAUUGCCUCCAGGGGACACUUAGCAAUGUCUGGAGAUAUGGCUGACCGUCACAACUCUGGGGAGGAAAGGACCGAUAUUAUACCAUUGGAGUGGAUGUCAGGUUGGGCAUGAACACACAUCUCCACAGUAGCACCUCUUUUUGAUUAGACAGAGGCGUGGGAUGGAGCAGUAUCGAGUGAAUUCCUCCAAUACACGCAUAGAGCAGGAGUCAACCCUUAUUAGGGCAGAGGACUCAAGGCCCAGCUUCACAGCCUACCCGGCUAUGGCCUACUUGGAGAUGGUACAGACAGAACCUGUGCAAAUGAUUAAAGCUCUGGAUGCCUAGGCCUGAUGAAGAAAGGCAAAGGAAUGGACAUUGUUUAACCUCAAGCAAAUGAUGGCUGAAGCAAGUCCUAAUGGCUAUGUUUCAGUACCACAGGUGAUUUCUAAAUGGAGGAAGUGACCAGCCACUCUUUGGCACCCAGGACCCAAGAAAAUGAAGCCCAUGGGGGUGAAGGGAAGGAUGGGGGUUCAGUGGCUCCCAGGAUGGAGCAAGUAAAUGAAGGGAUGACAAGAACUCAUAGGAGCUCAUUGCUGAGGGGCCUAGAGGUCCCUGUUUCUUCCCUCUUCCUUUGGUUCUAUUUCUGCUCCCCUGCUGGCCCUGUCGGAGAGCUAGGGACAGGGCAGUCCAAGGUUCAGGCCUUGCUUCUAGAACUUUCCUUUGAACUGGAAAAGCAGGAAAGACAAGAGGAGCCUGGGAGGCAGAGGGCAGGAGUAUCGGGGAGGAAAAAAAGGCGAGAAAGAAGGAGAAAGGAAAGCAAGAGCGAGGCGGCCUCUGGAGAGACAUCAGGAAAAUGUCAAGGUCUCAGCAUCUGGAAAACAGACCAGGGGCUAUAUUUAGACUGCCAUGACUUGCAAUAAUUUGUGCGAGGGGGGGAAAAGGAAAAUGCGAAGUUGGCGGGGAGGGAAUGAGUUAUAAGCAAAGAGGGGCUUGAUGGGGAGAGCAGUGCCCAAAGCCUCAGUGCGUGGCCCUUAGGAAAGGGCAUCUCAACGGUGUGGAUUGUCCUGUGUGAGCCAUGGUGUUUACAGAGCCGAAUCCAGCUCAUGCCCUUGUCCCCUGAUGGGUCCUGUGCUCCCCACUGAUAACAUGGGUGCAUUCCCGGAUGUGCCAGGGGACCCUAGGCCAUGGCACCGAGAUGUGUCAAUGAGGAGGCAGGGGGUUUUCUGGAGAGUGAGGGCCAACGCAGGGGCUCUGCAUGGGGGCUCAGAGCUACAUGAGCAGCCCUCUGUAAAUCCUAGGAAUUUGUAUAUAUUGCUGAGGCCUUUCUCCAGCUGGAUUAUAAAUAGAGGAUUAGUUCAAAGGCAGGCAGCCUUUUAAAGAGAUGGUGCCAAACGGAGCCUGCAAACCAAAUACAGUAAAACCUCCUUAAGCCCCUGCUGCUUUAUCUGAAAUAGCAUAUACGUCAAAGUAACAUCAUUUCCCUGGGUGAUGAGGUGCCCUACAGUCCUUUAGGAAAAAGUCUAGAGGGUUCAAAUGGAACUAUAGUAAAACCUCAGUUAUCUAGAAAGCACUGUAUCAUUCUGGAUAGUGGAGAUUUCCAGCAGGCUAAAGGUUUGCCGUUUGCGACAUCACUUUUUUUUUUUUGGUCUUUUUAGGGUCACACCUGUGGUAUAGGGAAGUUCCCAGGUUAG